Molecule: ribosomal RNA, 460 nt
Filed under: uncultured bacterium
Lineage: Bacteria
Description: partial 16S ribosomal RNA
Rfam family: Bacterial small subunit ribosomal RNA
Source: RNAcentral
CCUACGGGUGGCAGCAGUGAGGAAUAUUGGUCAAUGGGCGCGAGCCUGAACCAGCCAAGUAGCGUGAAGGAUGACUGCCCUACGGGUUGUAAACUUCUUUUCUAAAGGAAUAAAGUGAGGCACGUGUGUCUUUUUGUAUGUACUUUAUGAAUAAGGAUCGGCUAACUCCGUGCCAGCAGCCGCGGUAAUACGGAGGAUCCGAGCGUUAUCCGGAUUUAUUGGGUUUAAAGGGAGCGUAGAUGGGUUGUUAAGUCAGUUGUGAAAGGUUGCGGCUUAACCGGAAAAUUGCAAUUGAUACUGGCAGCCUUGAGUACAGUGGAGGUAGGCGGAAUGCGGGGUGUAGCGGUGAAAUGCUUAGAUAUCACGAAGAACACCGAUUGCGAAGGCAGCCUACUAAACUGCCACUGACAUUGAUGCUCGAAAGUGUGGGUAUCAAACAGGAUUAGAUACCCGGGUAGUC